This 479-nucleotide unclassified non-coding RNA is filed under the name Fusarium solani. RNAcentral describes it as "sequence contains ITS2, 28S rRNA gene". It matches the Rfam family "Eukaryotic large subunit ribosomal RNA", at positions 68 to 558 of the family's 3401-position model. Lineage: Eukaryota; Fungi; Ascomycota; Sordariomycetes; Hypocreales; Nectriaceae. The record is from RNAcentral.
ACAGGGAUUGCCUCAGUAACGGCGAGUGAAGCGGCAACAGCUCAAAUUUGAAAUCUGGCUCUCGGGCCCGAGUUGUAAUUUGUAGAGGAUGCUUUUGGUGAGGUGCCUUCCGAGUUCCCUGGAACGGGACGCCAUAGAGGGUGAGAGCCCCGUCUGGUUGGACACCGAUCCUCUGUAAAGCUCCUUCGACGAGUCGAGUAGUUUGGGAAUGCUGCUCUAAAUGGGAGGUAUAUGUCUUCUAAAGCUAAAUACCGGCCAGAGACCGAUAGCGCACAAGUAGAGUGAUCGAAAGAUGAAAAGAACUUUGAAAAGAGAGUUAAAAAGUACGUGAAAUUGUUGAAAGGGAAGCGCUUGUGACCAGACUUGGGCUUGGUUGAUCAUCCGGGGUUCUCCCCGGUGCACUCUUCCGGCUCAGGCCAGCAUCAGUUCGCCCUGGGGGAAAAAGGCUUCGGGAAUGUGGCUCUCUCCGGGGAGUGUUA